This 253-nucleotide ribosomal RNA is filed under the name uncultured bacterium. RNAcentral's name for it is "partial 16S ribosomal RNA". It matches the Rfam family "Bacterial small subunit ribosomal RNA", at positions 524 to 776 of the family's 1533-position model. The record is from RNAcentral.
UACGGAGGGGGCUAGCGUUGUUCGGAAUUACUGGGCGUAAAGCGCACGUAGGCGGCUUUGCAAGUUAGAGGUGAAAGCCCGGGGCUCAACUCCGGAAUUGCCUUUAAAACUGCAUCGCUAGAAUUGUGGAGAGGUAAGUGGAAUUCCGAGUGUAGAGGUGAAAUUCGUAGAUAUUCGCAAGAACACCAGUGGCGAAGGCGGCUCACUGGCCCGAUACUGACGCUGAGGCACGAAAGCGUGGGGAGCAAACAGG